UUUGGGUGGUUUGUUCAGCAGCUGUUGCAUUUUUAUUACACGCUGGGUGGAGAGGUUAACAGAAAAGCCAGAACUCCCUUAUUAAGCUCUCAUCAGGAGGUUUCCCACAAUUCCCAGUUCAUUUGACUAAUGAGAUGCAGUGACCUAGAAAUGUGCAAGUAGACACAUUGCCAAGAAAGCCACAGGUUUACAGAAGAAGCUUGCUCACAGUUCACAGUUGAAGUAGUCAUUCAGUUGAAGCAGAAUAAUUAGUGUGGCAGUAGAAUCUCACAGUUCACAGUUACCGUAGCCACUCUGUCACCUUGUCAGGAUAAUUAGUGUGGCAAUAAAAUGUAAGUAUU
Molecule: long non-coding RNA, 341 nt
Organism: Lingula anatina
Lineage: Eukaryota; Metazoa; Brachiopoda; Lingulata; Lingulida; Lingulidae
Source: RefSeq, a predicted model, not a curated record